This 186-nucleotide ribosomal RNA is filed under the name uncultured soil bacterium. RNAcentral describes it as "partial 16S ribosomal RNA". It matches the Rfam family "Bacterial small subunit ribosomal RNA", at positions 26 to 240 of the family's 1533-position model. The record is from RNAcentral.
AGAACGAACGCUGGCGGCAUGCCUAAUACAUGCAAGUCGAACGAACUCUUCGGAGUUAGUGGCGCACGGGUGCGUAACGCGUGGGAAUCUGCCCCUUGGUUCGGAAUAACAGUUGGAAACGACUGCUAAUACCGGAUGAUGACGAAAGUCCAAAGAUUUAUCGCCAAGGGAUGAGCCCGCGUAGGA